Ornithorhynchus anatinus (platypus) is the source of this 557-nucleotide long non-coding RNA. RefSeq lists it as uncharacterized. The record is from RefSeq and is a predicted model, not a curated record. The transcript is spliced from 3 exons. Lineage: Eukaryota; Metazoa; Chordata; Mammalia; Monotremata; Ornithorhynchidae.
UUUGGUGGCCUCCCUAAUAUACCUAUUAGUAAGGAAUGAAAAUAGUCCUGCAAGAAACUGGAGAAAGGCAUGCCGAACUCACGUAGCAUAAGUGACGUGGCCUCGGCCCAAAGAAGCCAUUGACCUGUGAGAACAGUACCUGAAGACAAGUGCCUCAGGUCCUUUCAGGAUAAAGCCCUGAAGAAACAGAUUCAACAGAGGAGGAAGAGGCCUGAUCCCACUCGGACUACUGGUGUCUCGGCUUGGAAUAGUACGCUCCAUCCCCUCUGGAAUUCUUUCCAAACUCUUUGGGGGAAUGAGAAAUGGUCAUCUUGUGGCAUUGUGAGAUUCAUGAAGAUGAGCGCACAGAAGCCACAAGUCUUAACUGCGGGUGGCGGUGAGCCUCAUCACCUCCUCGUAGCCGCCUAAAAUUGCAAAGGAGGAUCAGGACGCAAGAGCUUGCCUUCCGAAGGACAGCUAAGGAUCAUGUCCUGCUGCAAGAGAGGAGCUAAGCAGAACCUGUCUGGCUCAAGCCACGACGGAGCCAGAUCCAGAGAAAACACUGGAGCCAGAGGGCU